Molecule: ribosomal RNA, 453 nt
Filed under: uncultured bacterium
Lineage: Bacteria
Description: partial 16S ribosomal RNA
Rfam family: Bacterial small subunit ribosomal RNA
Source: RNAcentral
GAUGAACGCUGACAGAAUGCUUAACACAUGCAAGUCUACUUGAACUUCGGUUUGGGUGGCGGACGGGUGAGUAACGCGUAAAGAACUUGCCUCACAGUUAGGGACAACAUUUGGAAACGAAUGCUAAUACCUGAUAUUAUGAUUUUAGGGCAUCCUAGGAUUAUGAAAGCUAUAUGUGCUGUGAGAGAGCUUUGCGUCCCAUUAGCUAGUUGGAGAGGUAACGGCUCACCAAGGCGAUGAUGGGUAGCCGGCCUGAGAGGGUGAACGGCCACAAGGGGACUGAGACACGGCCCUUACUCCUACGGGAGGCAGCAGUGGGGAAUAUUGGACAAUGGACCAAAAGUCUGAUCCAGCAAUUCUGUGUGCACGAUGACGUUUUUCGGAAUGUAAAGUGCUUUCAGUUGGGAAGAAAAAAAGGACGGUACCAACAGAAGAAGUGACGGCUAAAUACGU